GAACUCCUACGGGAGGCAGCAGUGAGGAAUAUUGGUCAAUGGCCGAGAGGCUGAACCAGCCAAGUCGCGUGAGGGAAGACUGCCCUAUGGGUUGUAAACCUCUUUUGUCAGGGAGCAACGCCGGCUACGUGUAGCCGAACUGAGAGUACCUGAAGAAAAAGCAUCGGCUAACUCCGUGCCAGCAGCCGCGGUAAUACGGAGGAUGCGAGCGUUAUCCGGAUUUAUUGGGUUUAAAGGGUGCGUAGGCGGAAUGCCAAGUCAGCGGUAAAAUCGCGGGGCUCAACCUCGCUCCGCCGUUGAAACUG
Molecule: ribosomal RNA, 305 nt
Filed under: uncultured bacterium
Lineage: Bacteria
Description: bacterial SSU rRNA
Rfam family: Bacterial small subunit ribosomal RNA
Source: RNAcentral